AGGAAUGUCAUAUUCGGGAAUCCCACGGCUGCAGAUUUGUAUUAAUUUAAUUACUUUGUCAGAAAUUGUUGACAGGUGUCGCUACCCCUACAUGCUUCUACUGCUCUCUAUGAUCAACAAAAACCUUUUGAUUAUCUGAAUUCAAAAGAAUGUUCUUAGUAAAAUAAUGAAAAUGCUUCACAAUAAUAACACAAACGCUUAUAGAGGAUUAGCUACACAAACUCUUUAUCUCCCAAAGCGAAAGAAUGUAAUAGCCUAAAUGCAAGGCUGCCCACGAUAACAUCCCCUCCCUGUCGGAUGGAUACGGUAUCACAAGAUCGAAGAUUUCCAUUCACAACAUGAACCAGAACAAAGAAUAAAAGGAUUAUGAUCCCACUCAGAUCUAGUUCUGCAUACCGCAGCUGCACACCUCUCCACGCUUGACCUGAUUUUUACAGCCUAAUCUGCAGCACUCGGUAUAAACGCUAAAGAAGUCGAAUUGUUCGGGUGCGAGACAGAAAGCCAUGUUGAUGUCUGAAUUAAUGAAUCGUUCUUAGAGCGAUCGAUGGUAUAAUAUUUCUGUUAUAUCUUAGCAGGAGUUGCUUGGGAUUCUUCGUAUGAUGGAUAAUGAUAUACUAUGUAGAAACGUUGGCAUACCUCACGAUAUCGGCUAGAAGAGAGAUGAUACUUUUAAUGCGAGUUUCUGAAUCGAGCAGGCCGUAUUUGUAUACCAGCAGCUUCCACGUCCGUCGCAGGGAAAAGAUGGAGAAGCAAAACACAAGUGGUUGAACGAGCGUUAUCCAUAUCCUUUCUAAGUCAUAAGGAUUAUAUAACAAAUCAGAACAAGGGCCAAAGCGCUCAUUGAACUGCUUAUCGAACGCUAGUCUUUAAGAAGAUAGAGAAGUGACGAAACACAGAAAAAUGAUGUGCGACAGUCUGGAUCCUGAACAACCUGGAGCCAAGAGGAGCGUUGGUGUUUUGGGUGUUGGAACCAAUCAUGAAGCCAACGAGGCUUUAGGGGACAAGGCGCACUCGGUGGCAGGAGGCGAGGCGGCGUAGAUGUCCGGAAUGCGAACGGCUGUCGAGUCAAAAGUCUGUUCAUCGUUGUCCCUUGCGUCAAUCCGAAUUUUGUGAAAAAGG
RNAcentral lists this small RNA (1119 nucleotides) under Histoplasma capsulatum var. duboisii H88. RNAcentral's name for it is "Histoplasma capsulatum H88 hypothetical RNA". The record is from RNAcentral. Lineage: Eukaryota; Fungi; Ascomycota; Eurotiomycetes; Onygenales; Ajellomycetaceae.